CCUACGGUGUGCAGCAGUGAGGAAUAUUGGUCAAUGGACGAGAGUCUGAACCAGCCAAGUAGCGUGAAGGAUGACUGCCCUAGGGGUUGUAAACUUCUUUUAUAUGGGAAUAAAAUGUUCCACGGUUGGGAGUUUGUAUGUACCAUAUGAAUAAGGAUCGGCUAACUCCGGUCCAGCAGCCGCGGGAAUACGGAGGAUCCGAGCGUUAGCCUGAUUUAUUGGGUUUAAAGGGAGCGUAGGUGGAUUGUGAAGUCAGUGGUGAAAGUUUGCGGCUAAACCGUAAAAUUGCAGUUGAAACUGGCAGUCUUGAGUACAGUAGAGGUGGGCGGAAUGCGUGGUGUAGCGGUGAAAUGCUUAGAUAUCACGAAGAACUCCGAUUGCGAAGGCAGUUCACUGGACUGCAACUGACACUGAGGCUCGAAAGUGUGGGUAUCAAACAGGAUUAGAUACCCGGGUAGUC
Molecule: ribosomal RNA, 460 nt
Filed under: uncultured bacterium
Lineage: Bacteria
Description: partial 16S ribosomal RNA
Rfam family: Bacterial small subunit ribosomal RNA
Source: RNAcentral